CAGGAAAGAAGAGUAUAUGAGUAAAUGUGGGUUGGCUGUUUUAUUCGACCGAUCUGGGGGGAAACUCACAGAUGAAAUAAGAGACGAAAUCGCCAACGAUCCAAUGGAGACACCACAUGGACAAAACCUACUUCAAGAAAUCCGUGAAAGAUGGGACGAAUGGGAUCUGAAAGAUAAAGUUCAAGGUGAUAACCUCCUGGAUUUCGAUUCCUUCUACAAUGGUUUCAUGGCCCCUUAUUUUGCCUGUUACAGAUGUAACGAUACUAAAAAAGCGUUGCAGGCCCUCGAUAUGGAUAGCGACAACUCCGUUGAUUGGUCGGAAUUCUGUGUCUUUUUAAAAUGGGCAAUGAAGCAAUAUCCUAAAACAAUUCAUACUGCAGAUGAUUUACUCGAAGUAGCCUUCCGAAAAGGUUUAAUUCCUUGUAUGAGAGAUGAAAUGGUUGGCAAAAAGUAAAAACGAAAACAAUAUUGUAUCUUGAAACCAAUAGCAACAUAUAUUUGUAAUGAACUGCGUAUAUAUCCAUAGAAUGCAUCUGCUUGCAACUGCUAAUAGUAUAUUUAUGUCUUUUAUGUGUAACACAAAUGUGAUUAUUUCAACAAUAUAGAGAUAUAA
RNAcentral lists this long non-coding RNA (613 nucleotides) under Mytilus galloprovincialis (Mediterranean mussel). Lineage: Eukaryota; Metazoa; Mollusca; Bivalvia; Mytilida; Mytilidae. The record is from RNAcentral.